AAUGAAUACGAUAACACCUAUUUAUAGGGUCCACUAAAUAGCAAUGCAUAUAGGAUCUACUGAAUACCAAUGCAUAACUCUCAUUAAUAAGAUCCACUAAAUAUAUUUAGACUAAGAAUUCAAAUCCAAUACAUAAACAAAAAUACCUUUAUUAAAUAAUACAUAUGUAAUAAUUUCAAUCAACAUAUCACUACAGCACUCUGGACCAUUACCACU
RNAcentral lists this long non-coding RNA (216 nucleotides) under Elaeis guineensis (African oil palm). Its description in RNAcentral is "long non-coding RNA (EGUI_LNC025857)". The record is from RNAcentral. Lineage: Eukaryota; Viridiplantae; Streptophyta; Magnoliopsida; Arecales; Arecaceae.